CCCCGCAGCCCUGGGCGGGCAGGGGCGAUUGCUGCAGCCCGGGCUGCGCACCCGCUGGAUCGCAGCCCAGGAAAGCGAAGCCGAUGCGUGGAGCCUCCGCAAACUGGACGAGAAUCCAUCUUCCCUUGAGCUGGGCAUAGACUUUGUAAAAGAUAUUAUGUAAUGGAGACUCGGGCCGCUCGAGCCGUCUCCGGCGAAGCUGCUGGUGAAUUAAUUAAGGGCAUUAAAUGGUCUUAGGUCAAUAUUCCGCGGGGGGGAGUUGGGGGUGCGGAGGACUCCUGGGGACCACUGCGACUUGAGUGGAAUUUUCACUGAAUGCGUCUUCUAUGUUUUGUCGCCCUGCUGUCUGUGCCGAGGUGCUCUGUGACGGAAGAGGGGGACAGGAAGGUAGCAGAGCUGAGCCCUCCCUGAAGGAAGGCCGAAUACAAGUCUUGACGCUGGAGCCGUAGAUCUCAUGCACCAUUAAUGUGAUCUGACGUUACCGUUUUGUUUCGUCAAGCCCGUGGGCAAAAGUGGUGGGUCUUUUUAUUUGUUGUGAGUGUAUUAAUAAAACGAACGUGUAGUAAAAUAUUCUUUGUGACGAACCAGGUAAAGAAGCAACUGAUGUGAUGCAAAAUACGUCAUUGAAACCUCGAUUCUCUCCUGUGAUUGUCAGAAGAGGUUCUCCUGGUGAUGGCUCUGAUCAUUGAUCGUGAAUACUUCCAAAAUAAGCUAUUGAAAGGGAUGGUUGGGGGCGGAGAGAAUCUUCCAAACUGGUAAAGAACUCCGGUCUGAAAGGAAGGGAAAUGAAUGUAUUUCUGGAAGAAGACACAGUCCGCCCUCUAUUGGCCACUGCACAGAUGCGACUCCAACUUCUUAUAAUCUCUGUGAGGUUCCUCUUCAAAGGAAGAUUUGUCACUGUUGGGAGUAUUGAAAGAGCCAAAACACGUUCUAGAGGAAAUCAAAAGAAGAGCUUUAUUAAAAAAAAAAAAAAAGUAGGCGUUGGUAGUAUUCAUGCAACAAGUGCACACACACUUUCUCCAAGUGACUGUUGACAAGGAGCCAUCAUGUAUCGAAACCACCACAGGUUGAGGAGCUUCCCUUGGCCACUGCCAUCCCCUUUGCAUGAUGCUUCUGCUUUGAAGCCAACUGACCAUGGACUGAAACCGCUGAAACUGUGAGUCAAAAUAAACUCCCCCUUCAAGUUUUGGGCAUCAGCCAUUGUGUCCCAGCAAUGAAAAUCUGACCAAUCACACAAGCCCACUGCUUAGUAUGGGAAUCAACAGUUUCACCAUAGCGUAACAGCAAUUUGCUAAGUUAAGUCUAUGUGAAAAAAAUUGAAGAAAGGUUCACAAAAGUUUUUCAUGAAAAAGCAGAUAGUUGGGUUGGAUCUUGAAGGAAAAAUAUAAAUUUACCAGUUUCAUGGGGUGGAGGGCAGGAAGAGAAAAAAGAUUGUAAGUGAUGAAACGAUGAAGUUUCUAGAACAGCGUUUUUACAUAGCAGGUAUUCAGUAAAUGUUUUUGAAGGAGAGAAGAGAAGAUGUGCUUUUGCAAUGGGAGAAAAAACUAACUUUGAUAUAAUGGGUGCUCCUGGGUGAGUCUUAGGACAUGAGGAUGGCGAGAGGGGACCAGGUAGUGAAGAUCCAAAUCAAUAGCAGAGUUUAGACUUUGUCCUCUGUGGGAGCUUUCAGAGACAAAUGAAUUCAUCAAAUUCUUAGUGUGAAAAGAUACUGCAUUUCACUGAUUCUAAGAUAUACUUGUAAAAUAUUUUAACAACUCCGAAAGUAAGACGUACCUUACAAUUGAUGGCGUGUCAUAGUUUAAUUGACAGUUGUUUUUUUUUUUUCUUUCUCAGCGGUAUAUAAAAUAAUGUUGUUGCUUACAAAUGGUAGCAUCUUCCACAGAGUGAAAAACUGAAAUUGUGGUGGAAGAGUAACAGAGGGACAGUGCAGGGAAACAAGGAAACCCAUCGGGAGACUGCUCAAAUAGCCUAACUGUGAGAUAAUGAGCUGUGGUGUGAAAUCAAAUAUGCUGCAGCAGAGCUUGAAAUUCCAAAAUAGAUUAGGUGUUGCCAAGUUGAAUGGGUUAAAUCUUCCUCCUGGUUUUCCAUUUUGCUACCUGACUUGCCUUCCUGCACUCUUGGAACCUGAGGAAAAGCUGCUGACUUUUCACUACAAUCAUAUUUUCUCAGAUGACUAGCUUAGGUAUAAAUAGUAUUAUUUAAUUACUGUUAGGCGUAAAGAUUUUGUGAGACAAGUACAAUGCUUUGUACUCCAAGUGAGACUAUCAAGGGCUACUCUACCCAACAUGUCUGCUUUUUGCUGUGAAAUGUCUUAUAAAAAUAAAGAAAAUGUAUACCCCUGGGUGAGGCUUCAGUGGUCUCCAGGUCCAGCACCUCCCUUUACAGAGAAGAAAGAUGAAGUCCCGAGGUGCUGAUUACUUUAUAUUUGCUGACUCUUAGCAGCCUCAUCCUCGGUGGGUGUGGCUUGGAAUCCUCCAUGCUGCUCUGUAACAGGAGGUUACCUGUUUAUCUCGAGAUUAGCUCUAUCUCCUGUUCUCUUCCUGAGCACACAGGGCAAAAGAUCUGCCUCCACAGCUGCCACAAUUUUAGUAAUUUUGUUCCCAGUUCCUCUCUUCGUAACUGGCUCAUUCUGUAGUGGAAAUCUUUCUCCUUUUGCCCUGACACUUUGUUUUCUGUGUGUUAAUCUCUGCUGAUUUUAUGAUGGUGUCUAAUAUUGGGAUCUCUUGCUUGGGCAUUGGGGCCGACUUUCUUUCCUUCCUUCCUUCUGUCUUUCCUUCCUUCCUUCCU
This is a long non-coding RNA of Chinchilla lanigera (long-tailed chinchilla), 2787 nucleotides long. RefSeq lists it as uncharacterized. NCBI's taxonomy places the organism in Eukaryota, Metazoa, Chordata, Mammalia, Rodentia, Chinchillidae. The transcript has 4 exons. The record is from RefSeq and is a predicted model, not a curated record.